UAGCCACGGUAACACCAGCCCCUCGAGUGGUGGAGACGAUUAUUGGGCCUAAAGCGUCCGUAGCCGGCCCGGUAAGUCCCCUGUUAAAUCCGAUGUUCCAAGCGUCGGACUGCGGGGGAUACUGUCGGGCUAGAGGGUGGGAGAGGCCAGCGGUAUUCCCGGGGUAGGGGCGAAAAUCCGUUGAUCCCGGGGAGGACCACCAGUGGCGAAGGC
Molecule: ribosomal RNA, 213 nt
Filed under: uncultured archaeon
Lineage: Archaea
Description: partial 16S ribosomal RNA
Rfam family: Archaeal small subunit ribosomal RNA
Source: RNAcentral